GAACGGUCCCUUUUGCGGACCUCCGAUCCGGCCGUCCGUUAGCUGGAGAUUGAACUGGAGAUUGAACUGGAGAUUGAGCUGGAGAUUGAAGCCGGUCGUUCCGAUCGGAACUGGAGAUCGGAACUCGCGAUGAGAACUUGAGAUUGAGUUCCGAUCUCCAGUUCCGCGAUCGGAGACCAGAGUUCCGCGAAAUCGGAGACCAGAGUUCCGCGAAAUCGGAGUCUGCGAACUCGGAGACCAGUUCCCGAUCUCAAUCGAUUGCGUGUUCCAUCGACUUGCGAGGUCCCCGCGGAACCCAUCGCAG
This 304-nucleotide long non-coding RNA is filed under the name Zostera marina. RNAcentral describes it as "long non-coding RNA (ZMAR_LNC000493)". The record is from RNAcentral. Lineage: Eukaryota; Viridiplantae; Streptophyta; Magnoliopsida; Alismatales; Zosteraceae.